AUGCCCAAGAUGUUCGGUUUCUCUCGUCGCCGGAUGAAGCUGGGGAGGUUGAAGGGUCAUCUGCAUGAUCCUUUCCAUGCCCCCCGGAGUCCUGCCCAUCCCACCAAGCGGUCCAGUCACCUCACUGGAGAAGAACCAGUGGCUACGUCAGUGAGUGGCCGUCCUGACGACCUUGCUUGGCGUUGCUCCUCUGAUACUUUUGACCUCAAUGGCCGUGCAUUUGAAAACUCAGAGAACUGGGCAGUAUUGUCAACGGACGGGGAUAAACCGAGUCCUCGUUUUGAUCAUGCAGCAGCCAUGGUAGGGAGCAAAAUGAUUGUCUUCGGUGGAGAUUCCGGUAAUCAUUUGCUGGAUGAUACAAAGAUAUUAAGCUUAGACAAGCUUACAUGGGAUUCUGUGGCUUCUAAAGUUCGUGUAUCACCAGCUGGACGUCGUGCGCAGUUUCGACCAUGCAAAGGACAUUGCCUGGUUCCAUGGGGCAAGACUGUCAUUCUUGUCGGAGGGAAAAGCGAGCCAUCUUCUGACCGGAUAUCAGUAUGGACAUUCAAUACGGAAACCGAGAUCUGGUCGCAUAUGGAAGCGAAGGGCGACAUUCCGGUGGCUCGAAGUGGUCAUACAGUGACUAGAGCAGGCCCUGUUUUAAUUCUUUUUGGGGGCGAGGAUACCAAAGGGAAGAAACUACAUGACCUUCAUAUGUUUGAUCUGAAGUCCUUAACAUGGCUUCCUUUGAACUAUAAAGGUGCUGGACCUUCUCCAAGAUCCAAUCAUGUUGCUGCACUUUACGAUGAUAGAAUUCUUUUGAUUUUUGGAGGCCAAUCAAAAUCCAAGACCUUGAAUGAUGUCCACGCUCUAGAUUUUGAAACAAUGGUAUGGUCAAGAAUGAGAACACAUGGUCAUCAUCCAUCACCUCGGGCAGGUUGCUGUGGAGCUCUCUGUGGGACGAAAUGGUAUAUAGCAGGGGGUGGAAGCAAGAAAAGGCGUCAUCCGGAAACUUGGGUCUUUGAUGUCCUAGAAUCCAAGUGGUCUGUUUGUGUAGUACCUCCUAGUUCCUCCAUCACUACCAAGAAAGGUUUCAGCAUGGUUCCUUUGUACUACAGGGAUAAGAUUGUUCUUGUUUCAUUUGGAGGAAACAAAAAGGAGCCAUCUGAUAAGGUCGAAGUACUAGUGGUGCUGCAAAAUGAACAUUGUUUCAGUUGGCGGUCUGCCCCUGAUGCAGAACCCUUAAUGUAUGAGGACUCUUCUCCUAGCUCAAAGGAACUCGCCGAUCACCUCAACAACUGUGAUCCUUUGUACUCUAACUCUGUAGCAAGGCAUAGUCUCGCGACAACAGUGGAAAGCUCAUCUGGGAGGAAAUCGCUCCCUGAUUCACUCCUACAUAACUCGAAGGUGGGCGGCUCAUCACUCCGCAGGCAGUUCCGUCAGGAGGAGGAAUGCAGCCUGGCCCAAAAACUGCAGAAGCCUAUCGACGAUGACAAGUACAAGGAUGUUGACGAUUGUUCUGAGCUACCAUCCUUCGCAAACCAAAAGCAGCGGAGUGACACAUAUCAUUCUCCAGAUGCGGAUGCUAAAACGAAGAGGGUGGGCAGAAGUUCGUCUGACAUUAACCAUCAGCAUGAUACAAAAAUCGCAAACCUGGUCAGGAGAAACAUGGCGUUGGAAGAGCAACUUUCCGCUGCAAUGGCGAGCAAAGAUGAAGCAGAAAAGAACUUAUCUCUGGUCAUUGACACGAAGGAAGAGCUAGAGAGGAGGCUAGCUGAGAGAGACAGGGAAGUUGUGGCGCUGAAGGAGAAAGUGGGAGGAUUAGAACAGGCACACGAAGAUUCGAACAACGCCUCAAACACUGUCCAUGCUGAUAACGUGCGGCUCGAGCGUGAAGUGGCGUUCUUGAAGGCAGUCAUGGAUGAAACUCAGAAGGAGUUGCACUCGACCCGCGGAGUUCUAGCAGGAGAGCGCGCGAGGGCAUUCCAGCUCCAGGUUGAAGUGUUUCAUCUGAAGCAAAGGCUGCAAUCAAUGGAUGGACGGUCACCUACACAAAGAAAACCUCAGAAUCUCUAG
This 2055-nucleotide ribosomal RNA is filed under the name Triticum aestivum (bread wheat). RNAcentral describes it as "partial small subunit ribosomal RNA". Lineage: Eukaryota; Viridiplantae; Streptophyta; Magnoliopsida; Poales; Poaceae. The record is from RNAcentral.